RNAcentral lists this long non-coding RNA (1050 nucleotides) under Homo sapiens (human). RNAcentral describes it as "non-protein coding ADAMTS9-AS1:25". The record is from RNAcentral. Lineage: Eukaryota; Metazoa; Chordata; Mammalia; Primates; Hominidae.
UGAGAAAUUCAUAGAACUACCUGGCAGAAAAGGAAGGGUGAUAUUGCCUCCCAGGGAACAUUUGGCAACGUCUGAAGAUAUUUUUCACUGUCACAACCGAGGGGGUAUGCUAUUGGCAUCCAGUAGGUAGAGGUCAAGGAUGCUGAUAAGCAUCUACAAUGUCCCAAACAGUCCCUACAACAAAAAAUUAUCUGGCCCCAAAUAUGAAUAGUGCCAAGGUUGGGAAACCCUUCUUCAUACCUAUUCACAAUCCAUGGAACACUUUAUGUACUGCUGUCUUAGUCCCUAAUCAGAAAUUAUCAGGUAAAAUGCUCACUAGAAUUAAUCCUACUUCCAGAAGAGUUCUCAAAAGAGAAACCUAUAUACUCAACUCUGAUGCUCAAGUCUGACCAAUCCCUAGAUACUGCUGACCUAUUCAUAUAUUCAUAUUCUAUCACUGAUAUGGGAAGCUCUGUUUGAAACAUAAACUUAAAAAGGAAUCUCUAUAUAUGAACUAUCAGUGCUAUCAGACAAUGCUAACAUUAUGAACAUGAUGAGGAUAUAACCCUUGUUUUCUUAGAAAUGCCCACCCACAUUUAUGCUGUUUUUAGUUUAUUACUCUUGUCAAAGUUGCCAUGCAGAAUGUCUGUUGGUCAGUUGGGCACAUCUGCACACAUUUACAAUAUCUGCCACCUCUUUUAACCCUCAACCCCGCCCCACAAAAUGAGUGAUGGUGCUUGUUGAUUUGCAGAUUCACAGUCUGGUGAGACAAGUUUGAGAUCUCAUAUUUUCAGCUCAUCCUUGAAAACCUUUCUUCGAUUUGACUGACCUUGAUGGCUCCCUGGAAUCUCACCUACAUUUUAUGGGAAAUUCAACUCUCCAGAGAGAAGAGCUUUCAGAUAGCUGCGGGACUUGCAACUGUGACUUUCAGCUUUCGCUUUUGAAUGAGGCUCCAAAUGUCUCAAUGGUGGCACUAUUUCCAGAUUUGGGAGCCCUGCAAAGCUAAUCUGCUCAACCUUCACCUACUGGGUUCAAUGAAUAUGAAAAGCUGCCUUCCUGAAACUUUUCCUU